Molecule: ribosomal RNA, 315 nt
Filed under: Minunthozetes semirufus
Lineage: Eukaryota; Metazoa; Arthropoda; Arachnida; Sarcoptiformes; Punctoribatidae
Description: eukaryotic LSU rRNA
Rfam family: Eukaryotic large subunit ribosomal RNA
Source: RNAcentral
CCAAGGAGUCUAACAUGUGCGCGAGUCACUCGGUCUUGCUUAGGCCAGAGAGGCGCAAUGAAAGUAAUGUUUGUUAAGUUACGAUCCUUGUGCAGUUAUCACUCGUUGGUAACGGCAAGGCGCAGUAACAGCCCGCUAAUUUCGCUUAUUGACGAUCUGGCGGAGUUGUAGCGUACACGUUGGUACCCGAAAGAUGGUGAACUAUGCCUGGGCAAGACGAAGCCAGAGGAAACUCUGGUGGAGGUCUGUAGCGAUUCUGACGUGCAAAUCGAUCGUCAGACCUGGGUAUAGGGGCGAAAGACUAAUCGAACCAUC